Molecule: long non-coding RNA, 3573 nt
Filed under: Prunus dulcis (almond)
Lineage: Eukaryota; Viridiplantae; Streptophyta; Magnoliopsida; Rosales; Rosaceae
Source: RNAcentral
UAAAAAAGAGGAAAAAGUGUUUUGUCAAAACGGCUGUCGUGGGGCAUCGUUGCCGCGUUUCGUCCAAAGACGGUCAGAAAGGGUUUCUGUUUACUCAUACCCCACAAACACACUCUCUCUCUCUCUCGACUGUUCUACUUCUUAGCAGCGAGGACCUUAGAAAUGCUCCGAAAACCUGUAAGUGCUUUUUUCUCUCUCUGCUUUUACAUUUGUACUUGGGCGCAAUAGCUUUAGCUCAACCUCAAAACAAAUUUCAAUGAUUGCUAUUACUUCAUAAUCUGAUUUGUCAAGGCAUGUGAUGUGGUGAAAAUUGUACUUCUUAUGGGUAGAGAUUUGGGCAAUUGUCUUUGAAGUCUUCAUUUUUUUUCCUUUAAACUGUGUCUUUGAAUGAAUCUUCAAAUUCUGAAAGUGCUCGAAUUUUUUAUUAUAAAUGUUAUAUUAAUUGUCUGAAAAUUUGUAUGCAAUACAAGAUGGGUUUUGUCAUGGUUCUUGAUGUUUUGCAUUUCCAAUGAUGUUAAAAUUGAAACAACUCAGUUUCAAUCAUCAGUGGAAGUGAAUUAGUUUACUUUUAAUCAUUGCUAUUGACCAAAUAAAUAUAGUAGAAACCAUUCGUAAUAAUAUCGUGUACUAUUUCGUUCAUGGUAGGAUCUCGUUAGGGGAUUUCAUUACCUCAUUGACCAUGCUAGAGGAACUUUUAUAUCCACAACUUCAGCCAACCAAACUAAGCUUAUUGUUGGAAACUAACAAAUAAGUAAAAGCCGAAAUCUUUAUAUUGCCCUGCCUGCACUUUAUGAAAGCCACCGUGGUUUUUUUUAUUCAUUAGGUCAUUUAAUUAUUGGAAAGUAAAUCCUAUUAUUUGAAGGAUUUUUUUAUUUUAAGAAAUACCUUGUGCAAACUGCAAACAGUCUGUACUGUUGAAAGCUCACCUCUAUUUACAGAGUUGAUAGAGAUGAUGUUUGUGCAGCUAGAAAUACAUUGUGUGAAGUAAAAUACAAAUCGAAGAUGAGAUGAAAACUCUAUGAAUUAAGAGUGCAUUUUGAGUCUCAAAGACAGACAUACAUUGUGUGAAGUAAAAUACCACGAAUAGUCUUUGGUCUUCUAGAGACCUCAUCAAUAUUCAAUAAUCCCAUUGAAGAGUUUGUGAGGUUGCCUCACCAAAGUAAUGUAUUAGUCGGCUCUUUUAAUAGAAGCUCUUCUAGAUUUUAAAAUAUGCCAUAUCACAUUUUGUUAUACUAAUCAAUGUUUUAGAAAGCCGAUAUCUUCCCAGUCUACGCAUGACCUCGUUCUGCUACAUUCAUGAGAUUCUACGGUUUAGGGAGUUUGCUGCGAUCCUGGUCUUGUUUAUCCAGUUAACUUGUAUCCAUGGGGACUUGACUAACAAAGGUUUCUGAACUCUGAUUAUUAAGUUGCAGAGAAAACAGUUUUUUUAGUAAAGGGGAUGAACAAAAGAAAAAGGACCUUUGUCCACCUGCUUCGCUUAGCUCUCUCAAGUAAAUUACCAUUGCUUGUGGGAGAGGCCAUUGCCUCAGGUUCCUCCACAAGAAGAGUUGAAGAUGGUGCAACAUCAGAUCCCGUUACCUUACUUCGAAUGGAAUUUUAGCCCAUGAAUUUUAAUUUUCUAGAGUUUAUGGCCUUUUUUCUUUACUAGAUUCCGCAUAUAUUUUCUUCUUUAUGCCCCCCUUUGAAGUUGAAUAUGUGUGUGAGUGGUGCAGGCAAUACUCUUCUGUCAAUUGUGGUCACUUCAUAUAGUUGAAUCAUUUAUUGUGAUAUCCUUUGGCCCAGUCUGGUUCCUUGGAUUCAUCUUGGCCCAGUCUGGUUUCUUGGAUUCAUCUUGGCUAUCUAACAUCCUGAAAUCAUUUUAUAAUAUCUUCCACGGUUUACCAAGGAUUUACCUGCAUCUUUUUCCAUGUACUUAUUUUAGCUGUGAAAGUAUUUGUUCAUUUAUUUAUUUUUCCGUCAGUUAAAAUAACUCUGACUUUGCAAGGGGCCAAAAAGGAGACAGUAAAGACAUUAUUGGAUGGGAGAAAAUUUGAAAAUCCUUUGAUUAGCCAAUUUGAUUUAUAAAAUGUAUUCCAUUUCACAAUUCUAGGUAAGAACUAAUUGUAAUGAAAUUUGACAAGAAAAUAUACAGGUAUAAGGCAAUUCAGGGAUGACGGAGAAUUAGUUUUUUCGUUUAAGGUUAUUAUUGAUUGUUAUAAAAUGCUCAAUAUUCAGUAGCACUUCAAAAUAGUCAUCCUGCUCUCCUUCCUUCCCUUUUUUUUUUUUUUUUUUCAAUUAGAAAGGAGUGCAUGAUGACUAUUUUGGAGUGCCAAUAACAGCUCCCAUAUUAAGUAUAAAUUUUCAUCUCAUGGAUAAAAAGACAUGAUGAUCAUUGAUCUGGUAGGUAGUGUGGGAUCACGAACAAUGAUUAUUUCAAUGAUACUAACUGAAAAAGUAAACUUAGCUACGAAUUCCACCCAACAGAUAAAGAUAUGGUGAUAAGUUAGGGAUCAUUGAACAGUCUGGCUAUAGAAUUAUAAACUUUUAUUACUGGAGUAUUUUCUGCUGGUUUGGUGCUUGAAGCUUCUUGUUCCUUUCAAUUAUUGAAGUAUGUAAUGAAAUAUCAUUUCCUUCCACAAUUCAUGCCAAUUUUCUGGUGGAAGUUUGAAUAUCAUUUGUCACUCCAGAAAAUUCAUAGGGUUGUACUGUACAUAUUCAUACCAUUUUAAGAGGGAGCCUGAGGUUGGUUUAGAAUGGACGUAAUGCCAUUAUGGCUAGGUGAAUAGAGAUCAAUUGACUAAUGACAAAGACAGUUCCAUUCUCAGUGCCCCAUUUGUGUAUUGAUGUUGUUUGUUGAAUAUCAUUUUGUCUUUCCAGAAAACAAGUUAACUAUUUUGAGAAAGAUUUUAUUUCUUAUAAUACCUGAUACUGAUGACACUCUCUUUGCGUAGAUUAUCUAAAUCUAGAUUGUUUAUGACACCUUAAAAUUGGAUCACAUAACUAAUAUAUGUGGCUUUUGCCUUCAUUAGGUGUUUGAUCAACAGGGAAAUUGAUUGAAUUGUCUGCAACAUAUGAUGAUAAGUAUUAAAAUCAUCAUCAUCAUAAUCACCAUGGUGAAUUAAGUGUGUAGGCAGUCUUGAUGACUUUAUAUUAUGACUAAUUAAGAUGUGAUUACUGAAAUGAUUUCCAUGAAUAUUGCUGACAUGGAAGUACCUUGUACAGCUAUACAAUUGAUAUGCGUUGUACCAAGUGAAAUGUUAAUGGGUUAUAUCCUUUUCUCAUUGGAUGAAAAUGAUGAUGGCAAUGAGAUGGUUCCCAUUGAAAAUGUUGGUGUGAAUGAACUGCUGUUGAUUCUACAGCAGCUAUAUUUACUGAUGAGGGUUCCAUCUUGUGAUAAUGCUAUCGACCUUAGUCAAGAAUGAUGUUGAUGUUGCCAUGUGAGCAUCUAGUACAAUUCUGGUGUUACUUGUGACAUUAUUUUUCAGUGGCAAUUAGACGAUUCCGUUGUCUAUGACAUGGGAACGUGAUGUGAUGAUCUUAUGUCCUUUUCCCCGUUGGUGGAUGGUAAAGUUUGGUGAUAGACAUCAGACCCAA